Molecule: non-coding RNA, 110 nt
Organism: Paramuricea clavata
Lineage: Eukaryota; Metazoa; Cnidaria; Anthozoa; Malacalcyonacea; Plexauridae
Source: the annotation of a GenBank genome assembly
AACGGAACGGAAAUGGGGUUAAAAUGCGGAACGGAUAUUCCCGUUCCAUUCCGCGUUUUAACCCCAUAUCCGUUCCGCAUUUUAACCCCAUAUCCGUUCCGUAUUUUAAC